UCUCCGUAGGUGAACCUGCGGAGGGAUCAUUAGAGAUGUCCCUUAUGGGACUUGAUCAUAUACCAUACACACCGUGAACCGUGGGGGGCUUAUUAGAUUUCUGAUUUGAUAGGCCUCCAAAAGGGAGUCGAAAGACAACCUUACCUUUAAACAGAGUUAAUGAACGUACAAUACUAUAAAAAAGUAAUACAACUUUCAACAACGGAUCUCUUGGCUCUCGCAUCGAUGAAGAACGCAGC
This 239-nucleotide unclassified non-coding RNA is filed under the name uncultured fungus. RNAcentral's name for it is "sequence contains ITS1, 5.8S rRNA gene". The stretch from base 191 to 239 matches the Rfam family "5.8S ribosomal RNA", at positions 1 to 49 of the family's 154-position model. Lineage: Eukaryota; Fungi. The record is from RNAcentral.